GACCACGCUGUUCAUGGAGGGAGCCCAGCUGCUGGGUGCAGAGGAGGAGCGGCUUUGUUCCAUUGUUUUUGGACAUCACAAGGGCCUCAUCUCCUGGAACUCCUUCACACCAUCCUGCGGCUCUUCAGGGAAUAAUGCUGACAUCUCGAAGAACUUAAAGACACUGUUACGUGUGUCCACUGAGGCGGAACUAGGACGCUGCCCCAAGCUGCACUCUCGUUUCCCUUACGGGAAAGAAUACGACCAGGACUCGUGGAAAGGGGUCAACAGGGUCAAUGACCCUCCAGGUGGCUCACUGGUAAAGAACCCACCUGCCAAUGCGAGAGACGUAAUGGAUGCAAGUUCAAUCCCUGGGUCAGGAAGAUACCUUGGAGAAUGAAAUGGCAAC
This is a long non-coding RNA of Bos taurus (domestic cattle), 388 nucleotides long. The record is from Ensembl. Lineage: Eukaryota; Metazoa; Chordata; Mammalia; Artiodactyla; Bovidae.